GGCCUCUCGGGGUCCGAGUUGUAAUUUGUAGAGGAUGUUUUGGGUACCGCCCCGGUUUAAAUUUCUUGGAACAGAAUGUCAGAGAGGGUGAGAAUCCCGUCUUGGACCGGCGGUAGGGCCUAUGUAAAACUCCUUCGACGAGUCGAGUUGUUUGGGAAUGCAGCUCAAAAUGGGUGGUAAAUUUCAUCUAAAGCUAAAUAUUGGCCAGAGACCGAUAGCGCACAAGUAGAGUGAUCGAAAGAUGAAAAGCACUUUGAAAAGAGAGUUAAACAGUAUGUGAAAUUGUUGAAAGGGAAGCGCUUGCAACCAGACUUGAGCGCGGCGGUUCCCCUAGCCUUUUGGCUAGGUUACUCCGCCGUGUCCAGGCCAACAUCGGUUCUGAGGGUCGGUCAAAGGCCUUGGGAAUGUAUCUACCUACGGGUAGACUUAUAGACCAGGGUGUCAUGCGGCCUCUCGGGACCGAGGAACGCGCUUCGGCUCGGAUGUUGGCGUAAUGGUUGUCAGCGACCCGUCUUGAAACACGGACCAAGGAGUCUAACAUCUAUGCGAGUGUUUGGGUGUCAAACCCAGAACGCGGAAUGAAAGUGAACGGAGGUAGGAAGCUUCGGCUGCACUAUCGACCGAUCCUGAAGUUUACGGAUGGAUUUGAGUAAGAGCAUAGCUGUUGGGACCCGAAAGAUGGUGAACUAUGCCUGAAUAGGGUGAAGCCAGAGGAAACUCUGGUGGAGGCUCGCAGCGGUUCUGACGUGCAAAUCGAUCGUCAA
This 764-nucleotide ribosomal RNA is filed under the name Cladophialophora lanosa. RNAcentral's name for it is "partial 28S ribosomal RNA". It matches the Rfam family "Eukaryotic large subunit ribosomal RNA", at positions 124 to 908 of the family's 3401-position model. The record is from RNAcentral. Lineage: Eukaryota; Fungi; Ascomycota; Eurotiomycetes; Chaetothyriales; Herpotrichiellaceae.